RNAcentral lists this unclassified non-coding RNA (233 nucleotides) under Hevea brasiliensis (rubber tree). Lineage: Eukaryota; Viridiplantae; Streptophyta; Magnoliopsida; Malpighiales; Euphorbiaceae. The record is from RNAcentral.
UCUGGAUCAAGCAUCCUUUUGACAAGAUCUUUAGCAUUAUCCGAAACUCUAGGCCACGGAUCCCUCUUAAAAUCUACAACAGAACGAAUAAUCGCUUGCGCCACUCCUUGCUCAGUUUCAGCCCAAAAUGGCGGUACACCACAAAGCAAGAUGUAAAGGAUCACUCCUGCACUCCAGACAUCAACCUCUGGACCAUAAUUUCUUUUCAGAACCUCAGGAGCCAUGUAAUAUGG